Long non-coding RNA from Octopus bimaculoides (California two-spot octopus), 2052 nucleotides. The record is from RefSeq and is a predicted model, not a curated record. NCBI's taxonomy places the organism in Eukaryota, Metazoa, Mollusca, Cephalopoda, Octopoda, Octopodidae.
CUUCAGUCGAGUUAUAUCCCGUGUAAACUCGCACCCACUCUCAAUACCUGCUACUAUAGGCGCGUAAGGCCAGCAAAUUUGAGGGAAGAGGCAAAUUGUUUACAUCAACACGAAUGCUCAACUGGUACUUAUUUCAUCGAUCCAGGAGAAAUUUGAACCCAAAAUGUAAAGACGGACGAAAUGCCGUUAAGCAUUUUGCCAACCCACCGCCUUAUAGUAUCCUAAUAAUUAUUGGCACAAGGCAAUUUUAGGGCUUUAGUAAAUUAAAUCGAUUCCAGGACUUGACAGGUGCUUUAUUUUAUCGCCUCCGAAAGGAUAAAAGGCAAAGCCGAUCCUGGUGGAAUUUGAACUCAGCAGAAGGUAAAAAAAACAGCCCAGUGAGUCUUAACAAAUAUGUAGGAAACGAAUAUGAUAAAAAAAAAAAAAAUUACCCGCUGACGACCCCGGAGGGAGGAGAGGACUUUCGGAAAAUUCAGAACUUUCGGUUAUUUUGCAUACUUUCAACAAAUGUGAUAUCGAAAUCAAACGUAAACAGCUCCUUUUCCAGAAAAGGAAAGAUUUGGCUGCUAUUCCUAGCAUGCCCUGCUACCAUGUAAGAGCUAUUUGCAUUCACACUGAAAUAUUUACUAACUUUUUUCCCUUCCAUUUAUUGUUUCCACUUUAUGGAAGUCGAUGUUGACAUCCACCUCAGUUAAUUUUGCUUUUCAGUUUUGUGCUUUCUGGAAGAAAAGCCCUCACAUUAUCUCAAAGCUACAAGAAUUCACUAACACAAUUUGUUUAUUUUUUAAAAAAGAUUUCGUAGAGGAAUUAGAUACAAUGGGUUUUUUUCUGAUUUAAACACUAAGGGGUUAAAAAGUGCCAAAAUUAUAAAAUCAGCUUCUUUUUUGGCCUUUAGAACCCUAAAACUAUACAUAUAUAUUUUUUGCUUAGAGUUAAAAAAUGCGGAUUUUAUAGCUUUAAAUUUCAAAGGGCCUAAAAAAGGCUGAUUUCAUAGUUUGGGACCAUUUUUAGGUUUUUAAAGGCUUUUAGAGCCAGAAAAGAAUAAAAAAAAAAUGAAACACAAUAUUAGUAUUAAGCUAAGAAAAGUUUAUUGAUAAAGUGGCUGUAAAAAAUCGAGAAAUAUGACAUAUACAUAAUUUAAUUUUUCUUCUUCUCCAUUUUGUUGAUGAGAUUCAUGUUGCACUUCAUGAAAAUUAACAAACUAAAAUUUUCAUCAGAUAAAAACAUUCUCUUGGCACUCGAGAUGUCCUUGCCCAUGGAAAAUAAACAUUCAGUUGCAGCACUGGAAAGGAUGGCGGUGUUGAACUUGAUGAAAAAGCCCACUGACACUUGCUCACUCAAGAAGGCAUCUGUCAGUAGAUCCUUGGAGUUGGUCUCCAACCAGAUCUUUACUAAAUUCUGGGCCUUGUCCUUCAGUGACCUGUAGCUUCCACUCUCUUUUUGUUGGGUGACACCACUGAAGAAGUCAUCCUCCACCUCUUCAUUGUUGCUGCCCCCCCACUGUUGCUGCUCACUUCCUCAUACUGCUGUCUCAUGGCCUCCUUUUUCAUACUUUUUAGGGAUAAGCAAAUAGGAAAUAAUAGUUGCUACCCAAGGACAAAAAUUGUGUUAGGCUAUUAUUUUGAGUGGUUGUUCUAUGUGAGAAGAUGUUUUUAUAUCCAGAAUAUUUUUGAUACUAUCUGACACAGAAAUACUUUUUGAUUUCAAAGGCUACAGUCCAGUAUAACUCAGCUUUGACCAGGAUUAAGGUGUAGUGAAUCAACAAUUGUGUGGUUUGUAUUUGUGUAUAAGUCUAUAAAUUGUAUUUUUCAUCCAAAAGAAACUGAGUACACUAAGUUUCUCAACACCCUGGAUCCACCUGGAGUGUCAUCUCAGAGGUUCAUGCUGAAGAAAAGAUCCUCAAUUAUUCUUUCCAGAACUUUGAUGUUGCACAUUGAUACAAUGGUACAAGUUUGAUAUGUCCGGAGCUCUAACAAUGUUUGGCAAAGUUUUGAAUAAACUCCCAACAUUUUUUAUAACUUUUAUCUUUUAUAAUAAAACUUUUUCAUAUUU